GCGGACGUGGCCAAGUGGAUUAAGGCA
RNAcentral lists this transfer RNA (27 nucleotides) under Archidium oblongifolium. RNAcentral's name for it is "partial tRNA-His". Lineage: Eukaryota; Viridiplantae; Streptophyta; Bryopsida; Archidiales; Archidiaceae. The record is from RNAcentral.